Molecule: ribosomal RNA, 906 nt
Filed under: uncultured bacterium
Lineage: Bacteria
Description: bacterial SSU rRNA
Rfam family: Bacterial small subunit ribosomal RNA
Source: RNAcentral
CUCAGGAUGAACGCUAGCUACAGGCUUAACACAUGCAAGUCGAGGGGAAACGAUAGAGAAAGCUUGCUUUUUCUAGGCGUCGACCGGCGCACGGGUGAGUAACGCGUAUCCAACCUGCCCACCACUUGGGAAUAACCUUGCGAAAGUAAGACUAAUACCCAAUGAUAUCUCUAGAAGACAUCUGAAAGAGAUUAAAGAUUUAUCGGUGAUGGAUGGGGAUGCGUCUGAUUAGCUUGUUGGCGGGGUAACGGCCCACCAAGGCGACGAUCAGUAGGGGUUCUGAGAGGAAGGUCCCCCACAUUGGAACUGAGACACGGUCCAAACUCCUACGGGAGGCAGCAGUGAGGAAUAUUGGUCAAUGGGCGAGAGCCUGAACCAGCCAAGUAGCGUGCAGGAUGACGGCCCUAUGGGUUGUAAACUGCUUUUAUAAGGGAAUAAAGUGAGCCUCGUGAGACUUUUUGCAUGUACCUUAUGAAUAAGGACCGGCUAAUUCCGUGCCAGCAGCCGCGGUAAUACGGAAGGUCCGGGCGUUAUCCGGAUUUAUUGGGUUUAAAGGGAGCGUAGGCCGGAGAUUAAGCGUGUUGUGAAAUGUAGACGCUCAACGUCUGCACUGCAGCGCGAACUGGUUUCCUUGAGUACGCACAAAGUGGGCGGAAUUCGUGGUGUAGCGGUGAAAUGCUUAGAUAUCACGAAGAACUCCGAUUGCGAAGGCAGCUCACUGGAGCGCAACUGACGCUGAAGCUCGAAAGUGCGGGUAUCGAACAGGAUUAGAUACCCUGGUAGUCCGCACGGUAAACGAUGGAUGCCCGCUGUUGGUCUGAAUAGGUCAGCGGCCAAGCGAAAGCAUUAAGCAUCCCACCUGGGGAGUACGCCGGCAACGGUGAAACUCAAAGGAAUUGACGGAAG